This 420-nucleotide ribosomal RNA is filed under the name uncultured bacterium. RNAcentral describes it as "bacterial SSU rRNA". It matches the Rfam family "Bacterial small subunit ribosomal RNA", at positions 340 to 752 of the family's 1533-position model. The record is from RNAcentral.
UACGGAAGGCAGCAGUGGGGAAUAUUGCACAAUGGGCGCAAGCCUGAUGCAGCCAUGCCGCGUGUAUGAAGAAGGCCUUCGGGUUGUAAAGUACUUUCAGCGGGGAGGAAGGCGGUGGAGUUAAUAGCUUCACCGAUUGACGUUACCCGCAGAAGAAGCACCGGCUAACUCCGUGCCAGCAGCCGCGGUAAUACGGAGGGUGCAAGCGUUAAUCGGAAUUACUGGGCGUAAAGCGCACGCAGGCGGUCUGUCAAGUCGGAUGUGAAAUCCCCGGGCUUAACCUGGGAACUGCAUUCGAAACUGGCAGGCUAGAGUCUUGUAGAGGGGGUAGAAUUCCAGGUGUAGCGGUGAAAUGCGUAGAGAUCUGGAGGAAUACCGGUGGCGAAGGCGGCCCCUGGGACAAAGACUGACGCUCAGGGU